CCUACGGGGGGCAGCAGUGGGGAAUAUUGCGCAAUGGGGGAAACCCUGACGCAGCAACGCCGCGUGCGGGAUGAAGGCUUUCGGGUUGUAAACCGCUUUCAGCAGGGAAGAUAAUGACGGUACCUGCAGAAGAAGCCCCGGCUAACUACGUGCCAGCAGCCGCGGUAAUACGUAGGGGGCAAGCGUUAUCCGGAUUCAUUGGGCGUAAAGCGCGCGCAGGCGGGCCGCUAAGCGGGACCUCUAAUCUUGGGGCUCAACCUCAAGCCGGGUCCCGAACUGGCAGCCUCGAGUGCGGUAGGGGUAAGCGGAAUUCCCGGUGUAGCGGUGGAAUGCGCAGAUAUCGGGAAGAACACCGAUGGCGAAGGCAGCUUACUGGGCCGACACUGACGCUGAGGCGCGA
This 400-nucleotide ribosomal RNA is filed under the name uncultured bacterium. RNAcentral describes it as "bacterial SSU rRNA". It matches the Rfam family "Bacterial small subunit ribosomal RNA", at positions 338 to 756 of the family's 1533-position model. The record is from RNAcentral.